GCGGUUCCUGGCGCCUGUGCAGAGAGGGGCAGCCUCCCGUGCUGACGACCCUGGAAACAGGAUAGACGGGCGGGUGACCCGUGGCCCCGUACCCACGAGUUUGGGUCCCCUGAGGCAUCUCUCCAGGCCUCUGCCUGGCGAGAUGGAAAGAAAGUAUCAAGGAGUGAGCUGAAGCCACUGCCCUUGAGAACCCUCUCGAGGAGUCUGGCCUCAUGAAGAUGCCAGAAUAAGUGGCAGUAAGAAGAAAAAGAGCAAAGAUAAGAAGAGAAAAAGAGAAGAUGAAGAAACCCAGCUUGAUACGUUGGAAUCUGGUGAACAGUAACAAACUUUGGUGAAAUUUCAGGAACCAUAGCCAUUGAAAUGGAUGAGGGAACCUAUAUACAUGCACUCGACAAUGGUCUUUUUACCCUGGGAGCUCCACACAAAGAAG
This 430-nucleotide long non-coding RNA is filed under the name Homo sapiens (human). RNAcentral's name for it is "non-protein coding lnc-DEFB115-5:4". Lineage: Eukaryota; Metazoa; Chordata; Mammalia; Primates; Hominidae. The record is from RNAcentral.